GAUGAACGCUGGCGGCGUGCCUAAUACAUGCAAGUCGAGCGAACAGACGAGGAGCUUGCUCCUCUGACGUUAGCGGCGGACGGGUGAGUAACACGUGGAUAACCUACCUAUAAGACUGGGAUAACUUCGGGAAACCGGAGCUAAUACCGGAUAAUAUAUUGAACCGCAUGGUUCAAUAGUGAAAGACGGUUUUGCUGUCACUUAUAGAUGGAUCCGCGCCGCAUUAGCUAGUUGGUAAGGUAACGGCUUACCAAGGCAACGAUGCGUAGCCGACCUGAGAGGGUGAUCGGCCACACUGGAACUGAGACACGGUCCAGACUCCUACGGGAGGCAGCAGUAGGGAAUCUUCCGCAAUGGGCGAAAGCCUGACGGAGCAACGCCGCGUGAGUGAUGAAGGUCUGCGGAUCGUAAAACUCUGUUAUUAGGGAGAACAAAUGUGUAAGUAACUAUGCACGUCUUGACGGUACCUAAUCAGAAAGCCACGGCUAACUACGUG
Molecule: ribosomal RNA, 496 nt
Filed under: uncultured bacterium
Lineage: Bacteria
Description: partial 16S ribosomal RNA
Rfam family: Bacterial small subunit ribosomal RNA
Source: RNAcentral